AAAUUGAAGAGUUUGAUCAUGGCUCAGAUUGAACGCUGGCGGCAGGCCUAACACAUGCAAGUCGAACGGUAACAGGAAUCAGCUUGCUGAUUCGCUGACGAGUGGCGGACGGGUGAGUAAUGUCUGGGAAACUGCCUGAUGGAGGGGGAUAACUACUGGAAACGGUAGCUAAUACCGCAUAAUGUCGCAAGACCAAAGAGGGGGACCUUCGGGCCUCUUGCCAUCGGAUGUGCCCAGAUGGGAUUAGCUAGUAGGUGGGGUAACGGCUCACC
Molecule: ribosomal RNA, 272 nt
Filed under: Escherichia coli
Lineage: Bacteria; Pseudomonadati; Pseudomonadota; Gammaproteobacteria; Enterobacterales; Enterobacteriaceae
Description: partial 16S ribosomal RNA
Rfam family: Bacterial small subunit ribosomal RNA
Source: RNAcentral